Molecule: ribosomal RNA, 1348 nt
Rfam family: Bacterial small subunit ribosomal RNA
CCCAGCUUGCUGGGUGGAUUAGUGGCGAACGGGUGAGUAACACGUGAGUAACCUGCCCUUAACUCUGGGAUAAGCCUGGGAAACUGGGUCUAAUACCGGAUAGGAGCGUCCACCGCAUGGUGGGUGUUGGAAAGAUUUAUCGGUUUUGGAUGGACUCGCGGCCUAUCAGCUUGUUGGUGAGGUAAUGGCUCACCAAGGCGACGACGGGUAGCCGGCCUGAGAGGGUGACCGGCCACACUGGGACUGAGACACGGCCCAGACUCCUACGGGAGGCAGCAGUGGGGAAUAUUGCACAAUGGGCGAAAGCCUGAUGCAGCGACGCCGCGUGAGGGAUGACGGCCUUCGGGUUGUAAACCUCUUUCAGUAGGGAAGAAGCGAAAGUGACGGUACCUGCAGAAGAAGCACCGGCUAACUACGUGCCAGCAGCCGCGGUAAUACGUAGGGUGCGAGCGUUAUCCGGAAUUAUUGGGCGUAAAGAGCUCGUAGGCGGUUUGUCGCGUCUGUCGUGAAAGUCCGGGGCUUAACCCCGGAUCUGCGGUGGGUACGGGCAGACUAGAGUGCAGUAGGGGAGACUGGAAUUCCUGGUGUAGCGGUGGAAUGCGCAGAUAUCAGGAGGAACACCGAUGGCGAAGGCAGGUCUCUGGGCUGUAACUGACGCUGAGGAGCGAAAGCAUGGGGAGCGAACAGGAUUAGAUACCCUGGUAGUCCAUGCCGUAAACGUUGGGCACUAGGUGUGGGGACCAUUCCACGGUUUCCGCGCCGCAGCUAACGCAUUAAGUGCCCCGCCUGGGGAGUACGGCCGCAAGGCUAAAACUCAAAGGAAUUGACGGGGGCCCGCACAAGCGGCGGAGCAUGCGGAUUAAUUCGAUGCAACGCGAAGAACCUUACCAAGGCUUGACAUGUUCUCGAUCGCCGUAGAGAUACGGUUUCCCCUUUGGGGCGGGUUCACAGGUGGUGCAUGGGUUGUCGUCAGCUCGUGUCGUGAGAUGUUGGGUUUAAGUCCCGCAACGAGCGCAACCCCUCGUUCCAUGUUGCCAGCACGUCGUGGUGGGGACUCAUGGGAGACUGCCGGGGUCAACUCGGAGGAAGGUGAGGACGACGUCAAAUCAUCAUGCCCCUUAUGUCUUGGGCUUCACGCAUGCUACAAUGGCCGGUACAAUGGGUUGCGAUACUGUGAGGUGGAGCUAAUCCCAAAAAGCCGGUCUCAGUUCGGAUUGGGGUCUGCAACUCGACCCCAUGAAGUCGGAGUCGCUAGUAAUCGCAGAUCAGCAACGCUGCGGUGAAUACGUUCCCGGGCCUUGUACACACCGCCCGUCAAGUCACGAAAGUUGGUAACACCCGAAGCCGG